Molecule: unclassified non-coding RNA, 293 nt
Filed under: uncultured fungus
Lineage: Eukaryota; Fungi
Description: sequence contains ITS2
Source: RNAcentral
AACGCACCUUGCACCCUUUGGUAUUCCGAAGGGUACACCCGUUUGAGUGUCAUUGUAAUCUCACUCCAACACCUUUAUUGAUGUUGGAUGUGGACUUGGAUGUUGUCGUGUUCAACGACUCGUCUUAAAUGCCUGAGUGUACCCUGCUUUGCAGCGUAUCAGUGUGAUAAACAUCUUCACUGUUAAGUCUUUCAGGACACGCUUGUGUUGUAGGCUCUAUGCUUUCCAACCGUCCUCUGGACAAUCUCUGACAAUUUGACCUCAAAUCGGGUGGGACUACCCGCUGAACUUAA